Molecule: non-coding RNA, 953 nt
Organism: Phascolarctos cinereus (koala)
Lineage: Eukaryota; Metazoa; Chordata; Mammalia; Diprotodontia; Phascolarctidae
Source: RefSeq, a predicted model, not a curated record
GUUUGGAAAUGACUUCCCUUUACAGUUUCCCCUUAUGAUUUCAUUCACUCUCAGCCCUUUGCAAUCUAGUUUCCAAACUCAUCAUGCAAACACUAACACAGUUAGCAUAACUGUCAAAUGAUUGUUUGCAUUGUGGAAAGCAAUUUGGGACUAUACCCCAAAAUUUAUCAAAUUAUGCAUAUGCUUUUACUACUAGGACAAUACCCCAAAGAGAUGAAAUGAUGAAGAAGAAUAAGGGGCAAAGAUAUUUAUAGUUUUUUUUUUUGUUUUACCAAAAUACUGGAAACAAAGGAAGUACCCAUCAAGAGAAAUGGCUGAGAAACUCAUAGUAUACAUAUAUAAUGUCCUAUGUUGGUUUUGUAAGGAAUGUCAAUUUCAUAGAAGCCUGGGAAACUUUUCAUGAACUAAACCAGAGGCAUGCCUGUAGUGAUAGUGUUACUCUACCCUAAAGAAGAGUCAUUUAGCAGAAAAUGCACAGAAGAUGACAAAAGGAAGUUCGGGAAGACAAAGCAGUACAGUUUUAAACAGUUCAGGCUACAGGUAUGGAACACUGCAGAUGUUGCCAGAACUGUUGGUUUUGCUGAAUGGAUUCUUCCCAUCCCAUCCCCCCCUUUAUAGUCUUUGUUUUAAGGGAUGACUCUCUAUGGAGGAGAGGAAGCAGGUCAAAGUCCAUUGGAAGUAAAGCCAGAAUUGUCCAAGACAACAAGGAGUUGUUUGCUUGCUGAGCUCCUGUGUGUUUCUCAUAAGCUUUGGAUUCUAAACUCUCCAGUGUUGUAGCAGUAAGGAAAAAUUCCCAUGGAGCCAUCUGCUCUUGGCCUGGUACUCUGUCUGCUUCUCAUUUCAGUAUGGAGAUGGGGUUAUGUGAAAGGAAAGUUCACACGUGGGCCUACUCCUCUUCCAAUUAUUGAAAAUAUGCUGCACUUAGAUACUAAGAAUAUCAAUAAAUCCUUUUG